UCUGGGAUUAGGAUCCCCACUAUGCCUAAAUGUAAACCUUUACUUACAUCCUUAUCGCCUGGAUACUACAAGCCACGCUUGAAACCCAAGGGACUUGACGGUACCCCACACCCCACUAGAGGAGCCUGUCACAUAAUCGAUAAUCCCCGCUUAACCUCACCACCCCUAGCUUAUUCAGUCUGUAUACUUCCGUCGUAGCCUACCUCAUGAGUGACUCUUAGUAGGCCAGAUGAUCUACAUCAACACGUCAGGUCAAAGUGCAACCAAUAGGGCGGAAGUAGAUGGGCUACAUUUUCUAAAUUAGACUACACGAAAGAUCUAAAUGAAACUUUAUCAUGAAGGUGGAUUUAGUAGUAAGGGGAAAAUAGAGUGCUCCCCUUAAUGCGGCACUGGAGUGCGUACAAACCGCCCGU
RNAcentral lists this ribosomal RNA (413 nucleotides) under Haddadus aramunha. RNAcentral's name for it is "partial 12S ribosomal RNA". It matches the Rfam family "Bacterial small subunit ribosomal RNA", at positions 771 to 1397 of the family's 1533-position model. Lineage: Eukaryota; Metazoa; Chordata; Amphibia; Anura; Craugastoridae. The record is from RNAcentral.